Molecule: long non-coding RNA, 1455 nt
Filed under: Piliocolobus tephrosceles (Ugandan red Colobus)
Lineage: Eukaryota; Metazoa; Chordata; Mammalia; Primates; Cercopithecidae
Description: lncRNA (ENSPTEG00000020747.1)
Source: RNAcentral
AAUGAACAAAUAGCGAUUUUAAACCAACUUAAAAUAGAAGACCGAAGAAAAGUAUUACUUUCAGAUCCGAUCUUAUAUGAAGUAACAAUAAGAAAACCAUUGGAUAAUCAAAAUUCAGAAAUUGGAGGCUCUAGUUCGGAUCCACAUAGAUUGAACCGUGAAUCACUUAAAACACCUUUAAUAGCUGUUAAUGAAAGAAUAAGAAGAGAAUUGGAAUUAAAAAAACAAAGAAAAAACCAAGCUCUUAAUGAUGUAAAAAAUAAAAAGAAUUCAUAUGAUACAGCAAAAGAUGAAGAAGAAGUAAAGAAAGUAGAAAUAGAACGAAGAAUGGCUGCAGAUGCAAUGAAUAUACUAAAUGAUAAAGCAAUGCUUGAUGAUGCNNNNNNNNNNAGCAGAAGAAGCAGAACAACGACGUAAACAAGCAGAAGAAGAACAACGCAAACGAGUAGCAGAAGAAAAACGUAAAAUAGAAGAAGAAGAAGCAGAACGUACACGAUUAUUCAACGAACAUAAACGAUUACAGAACGAAUAUAAACGAUUAGAGGAAGAACGUAAACGAGUAGAGGAGGAACGACGUAAACAAGAAGAAGAAGAAAAAAAAGAAAAAGAAAGAAAAAAUAAAUUAGGUCUUAUAGGAAAAGCAGGAGACUACAUACGAGAAAAAAUAUAUAAACGUGCUGCAAUACGAAAAGCAGCUGCAGAAAAAGCUAAAAGAGAAGUUGAAAGAAUAGAUGCAGAACAAAAAAGAAUUGAAGAAGAACGAGCAAGGGUAAUAGGGGAAUAUAUUCGAAAACAACAAGAAAUACAAAGAGCAAAAAUUAAAGCAGCUAAAGAAGCAGUUGAAGAGAUGGUACCAAAAUCAGAUGAAAAAAAAGGAGCAGAUAAAGAAGGAGCAGAUAAAGAAGGAGCAGAUAAAGAAGGAGCAAAUAAAGAAGCAGCUGAUAAAGAAGCAGCUGAUCAGAUGGCACGAAAAGCAGCUGAAAAAAAAGUAGAUAAUGAGAUGGAACAAAAAGCAGCUGCAAAACAAGCAGUUGAUGAUAUGGCACGAAAGGUAGUUGAGCAAAACAAAAAAAAAGUAGUGGGAGACAUAAACAAAAACCAUACUCGAACUAGCAAUAUGCCAAAAAAUCAAAAAAUAUUAGGUGUAGAUAACAAAGAUAAAGCAUUUAUUAAAGACGAACAGAAUACUAAUAAUAAUAUUAAAGUAAAUGAUGCAAAAACGGGCAAGUCCGAAGAAAAAGAAUUACCACAAAAUAUUAAUUGGACUACCCACGAUAUAAUCGAGCAUGCAAAGAGAAAUAUGUGUCAAGCUUAUAGCAAAUCAUUACCGUACUGUAAUGAUUUAGUGAAAAAGGUAACUUCUGAAAAAUGUUAACAGAAGACGCUAAAAAUAUGUGUUGUGCAAUUGCAGAUUAUUGUGGAUCUACUAAUCAAUUUAAUACACAAAAUUUUCUA